GAUGAACGCUGGCGGCGUGCCUAAUACAUGCAAGUCGAGCGAACAGACGAGGAGCUUGCUCCUCUGACGUUAGCGGCGGACGGGUGAGUAACACGUGGAUAACCUACCUAUAAGACUGGGAUAACUUCGGGAAACCGGAGCUAAUACCGGAUAAUAUAUUGAACCGCAUGGUUCAAUAGUGAAAGACGGUUUUGCUGUCACUUAUAGAUGGAUCCGCGCCGCAUUAGCUAGUUGGUAAGGUAACGGCUUACAAAGGCAACGAUGCGUAGCCGACCUGAGAGGGUGAUCGGCCACACUGGAACUGAGACACGGUCCAGACUCCUACGGGAGGCAGCAGUAGGGAAUCUUCCGCAAUGGGCGAAAGCCUGACGGAGCAACGCCGCGUGAGUGAUGAAGGUCUUCGGAUCGUAAAACUCUGUUAUUAGGGAAGAACAAAUGUGUAAGUAACUAUGCACGUCUUGACGGCACCUAAUCAGAAAGCCACGGCUAACUACGUG
RNAcentral lists this ribosomal RNA (497 nucleotides) under uncultured bacterium. Its description in RNAcentral is "partial 16S ribosomal RNA". It matches the Rfam family "Bacterial small subunit ribosomal RNA", at positions 28 to 507 of the family's 1533-position model. The record is from RNAcentral.